GAACUCCUAAUGUGUGUGAUCUCGCAGGUUCGAAUCUAAGCCAGUAGCAAAGGAACCAAUUCCUGUACUAAUCGAAGUAACUAUCUAGCAAUGGUACCCGACGUUCGGAUAGGUCGAAUAGUUGCAAUAGCAACAUUCAAAACCUACGCGAAUAUGGUUACUAUAUAAUUCAUCCCUUUUGACCUCUGUGCAUAGGACAACUCAGGGUUAAACUAUCAACCC
Molecule: long non-coding RNA, 222 nt
Filed under: Elaeis guineensis (African oil palm)
Lineage: Eukaryota; Viridiplantae; Streptophyta; Magnoliopsida; Arecales; Arecaceae
Description: long non-coding RNA (EGUI_LNC050016)
Source: RNAcentral